This 500-nucleotide ribosomal RNA is filed under the name uncultured bacterium. Its description in RNAcentral is "partial 16S ribosomal RNA". It matches the Rfam family "Bacterial small subunit ribosomal RNA", at positions 30 to 523 of the family's 1533-position model. The record is from RNAcentral.
AUUGAACGCUGGCGGCAUGCCUUACACAUGCAAGUCGAACGGCAGCACGGGAGCAAUCCUGGUGGCGAGUGGCGAACGGGUGAGUAAAGUAUCGGAACGUGCCCAGUCGUGGGGGAUAACGUAGCGAAAGUUACGCUAAUACCGCAUACGAUCUAUGGAUGAAAGCGGGGGAUCGCAAGACCUCGCGCGAUUGGAGCGGCCGAUAUCAGAUUAGGUAGUUGGUGGGGUAAAGGCUCACCAAGCCGACGAUCUGUAGCUGGUCUGAGAGGACGACCAGCCACACUGGGACUGAGACACGACCCAGACUCCUACGGGAGGCAGCAGCGGGGAAUUUUGGACAAUGGGCGAAAGCCUGAUCCAGCCAUGCCGCGUGCAGGAUGAAGGCCUUCGGGUUGUAAACUGCUUUUGUACGGAACGAAAAGGUUUGGCCUAAUAAGCUGAGCUCAUGACGGUACCGUAGGAAUAAGCACCGGCUAACUACGUGCCAGCCGCCGCCGUAA